CGUCGCGCGCAAAAUUUCAUUCUCCCUCGCAUCUAUCCCUAUCCUUCUACUCUAUUGACUUCUUCAUUUUGAAGUCAGUAAAUGAGAUUUUUCUUCUUCAUCUUCUAUGACUUUCAAGGGCGGCUAAACCAGAUCGCGAAUCGGUCUACUUCUUCGUAGUUUGAGUUACAUCGGCAAACUAGUAAGGUCAUUUUUCUUUACUCUUUCUGGGCGUGCAGAUCUCUAGAUCGAACAUAAGCGUGAACGGACGAAACCCAGCGCUGUUCUGUUUUUCAAAAUUAAUCUGAGAAUACGUAGAAGGAGGACUCCUUUUCAGUCGGCUUCCUAGACAUUCUCGGUUCAGAUAUGAACAUAGGCUUUCUCGGCUCAUUUUCUUAUGGCUUCUUCCUCUUUUUACAGUUUCAAGUCCGACGUAGAAGGUUCUAUAUUAAAGGAAUAUAAAAAAUCAGUGAGGUCCUUUAUGUCUUCGCUUCUUUUUGGAAGUGAAAGGAAGACAUAGAAGGUAUAGGAGGCAUAAAAAUUCAAUUCCUCUUACUAGUACGUAGAAGGACCUAGUUACUACUUACUACGGUUACUUUGUUAUUUGUUCUUGGGAUAUUCUAGAAUAUAUUUCAUACAUUCUCAUAUUUGAUCAUCUUUAAUUGCUUCUGAGCGCUGUUUUGUUAUGCGGGAUCCUAACAGUUUUUCAGCUUCGAGAAGAAAUGGUAGAAUGAGACUUAGUGGAUGUCAUAGAGGCGCUUUACUUGGGGUGUGGGUUGAAUAUCCUUUCGUAAGCAAAAAACAGUAGACUUUUCUACCAUUUUUGCUCGUGCACCCAGAAUUCUUGCUGAGUAGGACUAUCAUAUCACUAUCGACAUAACAGCAUUGCAAAAUCCUCUAAUGCAUAACAUUUUGUUCUCCAAUUAAUUUUGCUUGCUGUUGGUGAUUGCCGAGCUGUGUUGCUGACUGUUAUGGUGAGUAUGCAGUGACUGUGUUAUGGAGUUCUAGUCUCCUUUACAUUUUUAAUAGGAGCUACCUAGGAUUGUCCCUAGGAUUGUCCCGUCGGUACUUGAUCGGAAACAAACUAACAGCCUCUUCUUCAAAUUUUCCCAGCUUAGAAACUUAUCUCUUUCUUCUUCUGAAUGGUACCAAUUCAGCGCUGGACCGCAGCAACAUUUUCUAUUUGGUUAAAUCAUGCUUGAAUUAAGCUAACUUUUAUGGAUUGCACAUAACCUGGUUAGUUGAUCUAUACUUUCCGUAUAACCCCUUGAUAUAAUUUGUUUCUUUAUAAGUGGUUGACUUUUAGAGCUACCUGUUGGAGAAUUGAUCUAUACUUUUGAGCCUUCAUAUUAAUAUGGAUGAUGGGCGUACAUAGUGGGCACCGAGUGGGCACAAGACAGCGCCAAUACCAGACUCUUGAGAUUUUUUUUUUUAAUUUAUCUCUUGAGAUAUUUUCUUUUACCUUUAGAUAACUAAGCAAAGCUCAGUCUUGGAGCUUUCCACUGUAUCAGUUAAAGUUGCAUAAAAACGUUAAGAAUCAAUUCUCAUGUUUCAAGUUCCAUGUUUAAAGUCGGGAAUUCAAUUGACGUUUACUUCAUGGUUGUGUUAGACUCUUGGGUGUGGAGCUUCUACUGAGAGCUUUUUCGAUGUAAUAUCUAGUGUUUUUUAUUGUUUAAUUAGAUGAUAUGCUAGCAAAUGCCCCUCAGACUUUGAUAGUUUUGGAGUUUUAUUCUUUUUUUUUUUAAUUUUUAAUUUUUAUUUUCUAUUUUUUACUUUUUAUGCUUUGGGUGAUUUGGUGUUUUAUCUUCUGCUAUUUUUCUUACGUUAAAAAUUUUGUUAUGUAAUAAUACUAGCUAUUUAUUUGAUUAUUAUUUAAAUGAGGAUCUUUGCACAACCUAUCAAAAAAUUGUGUUCAACUCGGUUAUUAUUGCUCAUGUAGGAUGAACUAUUUGAUUAUUUUAAAGUUGCUGCUCAAAGAUCUUGCAAUUCGGAAACUGCAGUGCCCAUAAUUCAUUAAUAUGCAGAGUUUAACAAAUUUCUUCAUUUUUUGAAUAUAGUUCUCCUCAAAGGCUAUGACUACCAUCCACUUCCCAUAUUUCUAAUCUAAUUUUUGUACUCCAUUAACUUGUCCUUUGAUUACGUUGAAAUGUGGUGAGUUCUUACUGCUUUUUAUUAUACAUGAAAAUGGCAGAGGAACACAGCUUCUUGAAGAGAAAUCAGCCUCCUUGAUUUGGACAUCCAGACAAUUCAACUCCACUCUUGAUCCAAAGCAGAGAUUAAUAGCACUGCAUAUCAAAGCUCUUUGGGUUGCCGAGUCAGAACUUGGAUGAAAUUUGAAAAGUGCCAAUGGCGAUGAGGACAUGUCCUUCCAUUUCAUUGAUGACAACACUACUCUGCACAUUUGGCCCUAAAUGCUGAUUAUACCAACAAAAAACACUCCCUAGAACGUGCAAUCCCUUGAGCGCUUCAAGAACCACAACUUCUUAAUGGUAACUGCUGCUACUGACGAUCCUGCCAUUCUUUGUAUGGAAAAUGAGGUAUGUUGAGCUUCUCAUUUAUGUAGUGGAACACAAAUCUCUAUCCUUUGAAGCUUCUCAUUGCUUAUGGUCACAUGUUCGGAUUUGUGGAGAGAUUCUGUGUUUGAAUCUUUUGGUAUGACUCAUUCUACACGAGCAUUAAAAUAAAAUGUAUAGUUUAUGGAUAAGUUGUACAAUCUGAACUAUUAGAUUGGAACUGGCUAGCUAGGAGCUAGUUAUAGGUGUUGUCAAAUAGAAAAAGAAAAGCAAGAUAGUUUGUGUUUGAGAUAAUCCAGCUACAUCUUUUCGUGAGUUUUUCUAUAAAUAUUUAUUCUAAGGUGUUAUCUUACAA
Cucumis melo (muskmelon) is the source of this 2847-nucleotide long non-coding RNA. RefSeq lists it as uncharacterized. The record is from RefSeq and is a predicted model, not a curated record. NCBI's taxonomy places the organism in Eukaryota, Viridiplantae, Streptophyta, Magnoliopsida, Cucurbitales, Cucurbitaceae. The transcript is spliced from 4 exons.